This 714-nucleotide ribosomal RNA is filed under the name uncultured bacterium. RNAcentral describes it as "bacterial SSU rRNA". It matches the Rfam family "Bacterial small subunit ribosomal RNA", at positions 111 to 822 of the family's 1533-position model. The record is from RNAcentral.
UAACGCGUAUCGAACCUGCCGCAUACCCGGGGAUAGCCUUGCGAAAGCAAGAUUAAUACCCGAUGUUCUCACUGUUCCGCAUGUUACGGUGAGCAAAGAAUUUCGGUAUGCGAUGGCGAUGCGUCCCAUUAGCUAGUUGGCGGGGUAACGGCCCACCAAGGCUCCGAUGGGUAGGGGUUCUGAGAGGAAAGUCCCCCACACUGGAACUGAGACACGGUCCGGACUCCUACGGGAGGCAGCAGUGAGGAAUAUUGGUCAAUGGACGCAAGUCUGAACCAGCCAAGUAGCGUGCAGGAUGACGGCCCUCCGGGUUGUAAACUGCUUUUAGUUGGGAAUAAAAGGGGGCUCGUGAGCCCCGUAUUGUAUGUACCAUCAGAAAAAGGACCGGCUAAUUCCGUGCCAGCAGCCGCGGUAAUACGGAAGGUCCGGGCGUUAUCCGGAUUUAUUGGGUUUAAAGGGAGCGUAGGCCGGCUUUUAAGUCAGCUGUGAAAGUCCGCGGCUCAACCGUGGAAUUGCAGUUGAAACUGGAGGCCUUGAGUGCACACAGGGAUGCCGGAAUUCAUGGUGUAGCGGUGAAAUGCUUAGAUAUCAUGAAGAACUCCGAUCGCGAAGGCAAGUGUCCGGGGUGCAACUGACGCUGAGGCUCGAAAGUGCGGGUAUCAAACAGGAUUAGAUACCCUGGUAGUCCGCACCGUAAACGAUGAAUACUCGUGU